Long non-coding RNA from Chiroxiphia lanceolata (lance-tailed manakin), 1035 nucleotides. RefSeq lists it as uncharacterized. NCBI's taxonomy places the organism in Eukaryota, Metazoa, Chordata, Aves, Passeriformes, Pipridae. The transcript is spliced from 8 exons. The record is from RefSeq and is a predicted model, not a curated record.
CCGCCCUCGGGGCACUCCCGCCGCCCUCGGGGCAUUCCCGCUCCCCUCGGGGCAUUCCCGCUCCCCUCGGGGCAUUCCCGCUCCCCUCGGGGCAUUCCUGCUUUCCUGAGAGCACUCCCGCCGCCCUCAGGGUAUUCCAGCCGCCCUGAGGGCAUUCCCGCUGCCUUCGGGACACUCCUGCUCCCCUCAGGGCAUUCCCACUCUCCUCAGGCUUUUCCCGCUCCCCUCAGAAGUGUUCCCGUUCCCCUCACAACACUCUGCUCCAACCAGGUCCAGGUUCCAGUGUUCACAUUGAGGCAGCUCCCUGUAACUCUCAUGCUUCAAAACAGUGGGGUUUAAAAGUUCUCAAGCUAUGUUAGCACUACACCCAAGCCUUGGAAAAGCCCUUUCUGCAGAUGAGAACAUUCUGAGACCAUUUUUGGAAACCCACUGGAACUGAGGCACACCAGCAAUCCAUCUUUGCUCUGCAAGAUCCAUGUUACCACAGGACCUGAAGUGUCAGCACUGGACUUGAUCUUCAGUGAUGCUCAGCCCAAAUGCCUUCACUCCCCUCCCUUCUUGAAGAAAAGAGGGACAUGGUGAUAAUUUCCAUGGCAACACAGAAAGAUUCCAGAAACAGAGAUUUCUGACUAAAUAUAUGAAGGUUGUUGAAAAGCACAACUGCAAGAAUUCUCCCUACUCAGUGGGAAUAACAGACAGAAGAGUUAAGCCUCUGUGUGUGUGACAAUGCUGGUACCACCUGUAAAGUCCUGGGAUUCCCAUAUCCUGGUUAUCCCAGACAUGCACAGGGAUGGGAACUGGGCAUCGUCUCUACUUGGGUGUUUCAGAACUGAUCCAAAGAGAAACCUCUGGAUGGACAACUGCUAAAGAGAAUGUGACUCGGGGAAAAAGGUAGGGAUGAUAUCUUUAUUCGGGCAUCUGGACUUGUUGCAACACUGAGAGGUAAAUUAGGCAUAAAUAGUCAGAAGAGCACUCAGAGAUCUGGAUAUUUGUGUAGCUGCCAUCAGCAUCAGAAACAACAGUAAAGCAAAGGGA